Cuculus canorus (common cuckoo) is the source of this 1245-nucleotide long non-coding RNA. RefSeq lists it as uncharacterized. The transcript has 3 exons. The record is from RefSeq and is a predicted model, not a curated record. Lineage: Eukaryota; Metazoa; Chordata; Aves; Cuculiformes; Cuculidae.
CGCGCCGUGACGUCACGGCCGGCGCACCUCCGCGGCGCACAGCCGCGCGCUCUGCCGCCUGCCCCGCGCUUUGCCGGGGGUCCCGGGCCGGCCGUGGGGAGCGGGCACCGGAGAGGAGUCGCGGCUCGUUGCAGGGUCCUUUUUGCGACUCGACCCACCCCCCGCCGCCGCGGGAAACCGCACUUGAGCCAUGUAUAAGUAAAAUAUAAAGUUAUCCUAUCCUACAGCUGCUGCUGGCUACGCAGAGACACUCGAGUGUAGUGAGGUCCUUAACUCAAGACAGAGCUUAAAAAUAAUAAACCGAGUAAGACAUCACCAAAAUAUUAAAUGAAAGGAGGGAAUGGUGUUAACCAAGGUAAUCAUGGCUUCUACCUCCUCAUGUGAAGCACGCCGGGCAGGAACGACACGUUCUGUACAAAGUGAAAGCCGUGAUCUUGCAAAGGCUUGACUUUGAAGCAUGUGACUUCAAUGUCUUUGAUUAUGCAUGCAGUUCAAGGUUAGAAAAUAGCAGGAUUAGUUAGGGAGGAGGGACGGGUUAGGCUCUACUGCAUUCCAGGUGGCUAUUACUGCACCCAAUUCUUUACAUUUCCACAUAAAAGAAAUAAUUUUUUAGAUGUUUUUGUUCAGUUGUGAAGGGACCUCCAUAAGUAAGUUAUACUGGACUUUUCUAGAACCAUAGAAUGGUUUGGAUUGGAAGGGACCUUAAAGAUUAUCUACUUCCAACCCCUCUACCAUAGGCAAGGACACAAAGGAAUAGUGUAGACUAUUAAAUGGUGCAGAACUUUUUCCCCCUUCUUUUAACUCUCUCUACAAGGCCACGUACAGCACUCAAAGUAGUGGGGGCAACUGGGUUACAUUCAUACUAUCAAUUAACUUCUCACAAUUCAUCUAGGAUUUAUGAUGUCCAAAGAAUUCAGCUUGUUGUCAAGUACUUCUAAAAACCAUCUGACUGUUUUUUUGAUAUAUCAAAGAGAGCAAAAAUCCUUCAGUUCUAGCCUAGUUCAACAGUUCUAAUUUCAAAUGGAUAGAUUAUGUUCUGGAUUCUUACAUCUACCCCAAGAAAUUCAAGUUCCUGGAACCCUUGCUUUACUAAUAUUUACACUACAUUAAGGACUAUAUCAGCUACUCUGGAAGAACACAGGAGCUAUAUGGCCUAUCAUGAGCAGAAACUUUCAUACAUGUAAAAGCUAUUUUCAACUGAUGUAACUGUUACUAAUUCCUGUCCAGCAGCGCCAAGGAAUGCAG